AUGGAAGGCCGAACUCAUGUGCAAGCGCGUCCCCGCGGCGGCAAACAGAGCCUUCCAAAAGCCCAAAGUGAAAACCACAUCCCUGUCCGAAACGAUGGAUGUGGGAAACCCGUGGAGUCGGACAAUAUUGGAGAAGAAGGCCUUAGCAACGGACUCCGCAGUGUACGGAUGCGCCAAGGGGAUGAAAUGCGCAUACAUGGAGAAACGGUCCACGACGGUCAGUAUCACACUUUUGCCGCCCACCUUCGGAAGUGCCUCAAUGAAAUCCAUGGAGAUGUCUUCCCAAACACGAGAUGGCACUGUCAAGGGCUGCAAUAA
This 318-nucleotide ribosomal RNA is filed under the name Triticum aestivum (bread wheat). RNAcentral describes it as "partial small subunit ribosomal RNA". The record is from RNAcentral. Lineage: Eukaryota; Viridiplantae; Streptophyta; Magnoliopsida; Poales; Poaceae.